Molecule: non-coding RNA, 235 nt
Organism: Pelobates cultripes (western spadefoot toad)
Lineage: Eukaryota; Metazoa; Chordata; Amphibia; Anura; Pelobatidae
Source: the annotation of a GenBank genome assembly
CAAUGAACGACACUCCUACAUACAUUACACAAUCCCUCCCCUUUGCCUGUGAUACAAUUAAGGUAGAUAAUACAGGCAGAAAAACACACAUUUUCCCCAAAGUACAGAAAACACCACAAAACAUAACACAUCCCCAUAACAACAUAUCUAAAAAUCACCCAGAUCAGGGCAAGGGUUCAGGAAAUUCCUGGAAGUCUCUUUUGACCGACCACACGCAUGAAUUCAUGCCCAAAAC